CGAGGAAUAUUGGUCAAUGGGCGCAAGCCUGAACCAGCCAUCCCGCGUGCAGGAAGACGGCCCUAUGGGUUGUAAACUGCUUUUCCAGGGGGAGAAUUUUUCUGUCGUGACAGGAAUUGACGGUACCCUGGGAAUAAGCAUCGGCUAACUCCGUGCCAGCAGCCGCGGUAAUACGGAGGAUGCGAGCGUUAUCCGGAUUUAUUGGGUUUAAAGGGUGCGUAGGCGGAUUGAUAAGUCAGUGGUGAAAACCUGCAGCUUAACUGUAGACUUGCCGUUUAUACUGUCGGUCUUGAGUGUGGUCAAGGUGGGCGGAAUGUGUAAUGUAGCGGUGAAAUGCUUAGAUAUUACACAGAACACCGAUUGCGAAGGCAGCUUACUGGGCCAUUACUGACGCUGAUGCACGAAAGCGUGGG
Molecule: ribosomal RNA, 413 nt
Filed under: uncultured bacterium
Lineage: Bacteria
Description: bacterial SSU rRNA
Rfam family: Bacterial small subunit ribosomal RNA
Source: RNAcentral